AUACCAGCGGCCCUAGUGGUGAUCGUUAUUAUUGGGCCUAAAGCGUCCGUAGCCGGUCCGGUAAAUCUCUGGGUAAAUCGUUGGGCUUAACUCAGCGAAUUCUGGGGAGACUGCUGGACUUGGGACCGGGAGAGGUCGGAGGUACUCCAGGGGUAGGGGUGAAAUCCUGUAAUCCAUGGGGGACCACCAGUGGCGAAGGCGGUUGUCGAGAACGUGCCCGACGGUGAGGGACGAAACCCAGGGGAGCAAAUCGGAUUAGAUACCCGUGUAGUCC
This 274-nucleotide ribosomal RNA is filed under the name uncultured bacterium. Its description in RNAcentral is "partial 16S ribosomal RNA". It matches the Rfam family "Archaeal small subunit ribosomal RNA", at positions 473 to 747 of the family's 1478-position model. The record is from RNAcentral.